RNAcentral lists this ribosomal RNA (204 nucleotides) under uncultured bacterium. RNAcentral describes it as "partial 16S ribosomal RNA". It matches the Rfam family "Bacterial small subunit ribosomal RNA", at positions 328 to 545 of the family's 1533-position model. The record is from RNAcentral.
ACGCUCGACACCUACGGGGGCAGCAGUGGGGAAUAUUGCACAAUGGGGGAAACCCUGAUGCAGCGACGCCGCGUGAGUGAAGAAGUAUUUCGGUAUGUAAAGCUCUAUCAGCAGGGAAGAAGAUGACGGUACCUGAGUAAGAAGCCCCGGCUAACUACGUGCCAGCACGCCGACGGUAAUCGUGAGGCGGGCGUGGACGAAGGC